This is a small nucleolar RNA of Heterocephalus glaber (naked mole-rat), 131 nucleotides long. NCBI's taxonomy places the organism in Eukaryota, Metazoa, Chordata, Mammalia, Rodentia, Bathyergidae. The record is from Ensembl.
GGUAAUAUUGAUUAGAAUGGGCACUGUUAAUUGGUGUCUAAAAUUAUUCGGUGUGACUAAAAUUGAGGCAUAGGUCAUGCUUCCAUCACAGUAUUCAUAUUACAGUGGUGACAAUGAGACCUGUAACAUUU